UACGGGGGGGGCAAGCGUUGUUCGGAAUUACUGGGCGUAAAGGGCUCGUAGGCGGCCAACUAAGUCAGACGUGAAAUCCCUCGGCUUAACCGGGGAACUGCGUCUGAUACUGGAUGGCUUGAGUUUGGGAGAGGAGCGCGGAAUUCCUGGUGUAGCGGUGAAAUGCGCAGAUAUCAGGAGGAACACCGAUGGCGAAGGCAGCUCACUGGGACGGUACUGACGCUGAGACGCGAAAGCGUGGGGAGCAAACAGG
This 253-nucleotide ribosomal RNA is filed under the name uncultured bacterium. RNAcentral's name for it is "partial 16S ribosomal RNA". It matches the Rfam family "Bacterial small subunit ribosomal RNA", at positions 524 to 776 of the family's 1533-position model. The record is from RNAcentral.